GAUGAACGCUGGCGGCGUGCCUAAUACAUGCAAGUCGAGCGAACAGAUGAGGAGCUUGCUCCUCUGACGUUAGCGGCGGACGGGUGAGUAACACGUGGAUAACCUACCUAUAAGACUGGGAUAACUUCGGGAAACCGGAGCUAAUACCGGAUAAUAUAUUGAACCGCAUGGUUCAAUAGUGAAAGACGGUUUUGCUGUCACUUAUAGAUGGAUCCGCGCCGCAUUAGCUAGUUGGUAAGGUAACGGCUUACCAAGGCAACGAUGCGUAGCCGACCUGAGAGGGUGAUCGGCCACACUGGAACUGAGACACGGUCCAGACUCCUACGGGAAGCAGCAGUAGGGAAUCUUCCGCAAUGGGCGAAAGCCUGACGGAGCAACGCCGCGUGAGUGAUGAAGGUCUUCGGAUCGUAAAACUCUGUUAUUAGGGAAGAACAAAUGUGUAAGUAACUAUACACGUCUUGACGGUACCUAAUCAGAAAGCCACGGCUAACUACGUG
This 497-nucleotide ribosomal RNA is filed under the name uncultured bacterium. Its description in RNAcentral is "partial 16S ribosomal RNA". It matches the Rfam family "Bacterial small subunit ribosomal RNA", at positions 28 to 507 of the family's 1533-position model. The record is from RNAcentral.